UUGUCUAUUAAUUGUAGACCUGUAUGAAAGGCAAAAUGAGGGCCUAACUGUCUCUUAUAACUAAUCAAUUAAACUGAUCUCCCAGUACAAAAGCUGGGAUAAAAACAUAAGACCAGAAGACCCUGUGAAGCUUAAACCAAACUAUCAAACCACAUGAUAGCUAAUUUCGGUUGGGGCGACCUUGGAAACAAAAAGAACUUCCAAACAUUAUUCUUAAUAAAAGAAAAUAAAGGCCGACAAGCCAAAUAAAGACCCAGCAUCGCUGAUAAAUGAAACAAGUUACUCCAGGGAUAACAGCGCUAUCUUCUUUAAGAGUCCAUAUCAAAAAGAAGGUUUACGACCUCGAUGUUGGAUCAGGACAUCCUAAUGGUGCAGCCGCUAUUAAGGGUUCGUUUGUUCAACGAUU
Molecule: ribosomal RNA, 406 nt
Filed under: Psammophis schokari
Lineage: Eukaryota; Metazoa; Chordata; Lepidosauria; Squamata
Description: partial 16S ribosomal RNA
Rfam family: Bacterial large subunit ribosomal RNA
Source: RNAcentral